AAUGGAGGGACUCCUCCCCUUGCCUGGCCCAGGCUUUGUGAUUCACAUGCCCCACCCCACAAGCCUGUGGGCACAGCACUACGUGACGUGUGAGAACGCCACGAUGACCCCACCUCAGUGUGCACACUGGGGUUUUGAGCUUUGGGCUCUCAGGUCAGGCUGCCGUGAUCAAAAUCCCGAUUCUGCCAUUUGCUAGCAGCGUGACAGGCAAGUUGCUUAACCUCUGGAUAUCUGUUUUCUCGUCACUAAAACGGACAUGACUAAUAGUGCCUAUAUUAUGGGGCUUUGAGAGAAUGAAAUAGCCCAGGGAAAGUGCACAGAAGGGUGCCUGAUAGAAGUAAGGGCUCAACGGGAGCUGUGUGUGACUAUCAAUCUACUUUAAUGAUCAUAAUAACCUGAAGGAUAGGUCGGCACUCUCAUCUCCAAGCAGGAAGCUGAGGCUCAGGGAAGUUUUAAACUGUUCUAGGUUCACAGUGUUUAGGGGCCACAGCCAGGAUUCUAACCCAGGGCUAAAGGACCCCAAAGUCCAAGAUCUUCUCACUGAGCCAUGGAGGGAAUAGACCUAGAGUCUAGGAGGGCAGCCAUGUAUCACACUGGUGACAACCCAGGGCAGUGUAAACUUUCCUGACAAAUGUCCCUACACCUGGGAUCAUGGUCAGAUGCUGGGAAAGCUCCAGGAAGGGUGCUGCAUGAGCUCGCACGAGGCUGUGUGGUGGCAGUGGGACUGAACUGGGCCUUGAAGGACGAGCAGGACUUGAGUGACAGAAUGAAGAUGAAAGAGGGCAUCCUCCUUCCAUCUCUUAAGGCUGGGGCCUGUGUGUCAGCCCCAGAAGCAGGGCUUGGCUGAUGGCUAGAAGGGGCAUCCAUAAGGCACAGAGGUGCCUGGAGUGAACGAGCUGCACUGGAGAGUCAGGGAAGAAAACAAAACCAGAUUCGUUGCCAGCCAAGGGGGCGCUCCAACCACAGAGGCCACUGUAGGUCCCAGUGACAAGCUGGAGGUAGGGAGGCUGAUGGCGAUGGUGUUUGAGUAGCUCAGGCAUAAAGAGACGAAGGUUGAACCGGACUAGGGUUCUUGGGAAUGGGAAGGGAUGGCUGGAAGGACGGUGAAGGACUCUGUGGCAAGAGCUUGAGGGAAGGGGUGAAGGCAAGGGUGUGGAUUGGGCCUUUCCGUUCCAGAGCAGCAGCAGCACCAGAGACCAGCAUUGAGAGACACGCACUCCAAACUGUGGGUCUGACACAUGCUCAGUUGUAGCCCUGAUUCAGCACUGGAGGCCACGCGCUGGGCCACUGGGCCUGCCAGCUUCUCCUCAUGCAGAGCCGGUGUUGCACGAGGCAGGACUGAUGGUGCAAGCCGCUCUCCCCGUGUCAGCCUUGCGGGGUCCACCGGUCAGAGUGUAGCCAGGGAGACGAAAAAUCGAGUGAAUGCUGGCUUCGACUUGUGCUGUGUGGCCAUUAGGACACACUUAAGGAGCCACUAGGAAAUGGAUUGCAUCUGUGUCCUGACGGAGCUGUCUGCCCUUGACAGGCCCAGAUGAAAAGGUUGAGGCGAAAAGGGAUUACAUGACCCGUUCAAAGACCAUGAGCGGGUAAGUACAGAGAAGUAUUCAAAUCCAGGCCUGCCUGAUUUCAAAGAUCCUAUUCUUUCCAGUAUGGCAAAAACACCUUUCUGAGCACUUCUUAAAUUAUACCACGUCGGUCCUGUAUGCUCGGUCUAUGCGUGAGACCAACUCUUCUCUUUAUA
Molecule: long non-coding RNA, 1741 nt
Organism: Acinonyx jubatus (cheetah)
Lineage: Eukaryota; Metazoa; Chordata; Mammalia; Carnivora; Felidae
Exons: 4
Source: RefSeq, a predicted model, not a curated record